RNAcentral lists this ribosomal RNA (616 nucleotides) under uncultured bacterium. RNAcentral's name for it is "bacterial SSU rRNA". It matches the Rfam family "Bacterial small subunit ribosomal RNA", at positions 141 to 773 of the family's 1533-position model. The record is from RNAcentral.
GGAUAGCCCGAUGAAAGUUGGAUUAAUACCGCAUAUAGCUAUAUAGUUGCAAGAUUAUGUAGUGAAAGAUUUAUUGGUAUAGGAGGAGUCUGCGGCACAUUAGCUAGUAGGUGAGGUAAAGGCUUACCUAGGCGACGAUGUGUAGCCGGUCUGAGAGGAUGAACGGCCACAAUGGAACUGAGACACGGUCCAUACUCCUACGGGAGGCAGCAGUGGGGAAUAUUGCACAAUGGGGGAAACCCUGAUGCAGCAACGCCGCGUGAGUGAAGAAGGUUUUCGGAUUGUAAAGCUCUGUUAGCAGGGAAGAGGAAGGACGGUACCUGCAGAGGAAGCCACGGCUAACUACGUGCCAGCAGCCGCGGUAAUACGUAGGUGGCAAGCGUUGUUCGGAAUAACUGGGCGUAAAGGAUGCGUAGGCGGUUAAACAAGUUAUAUGUUAAAUAUAUAGGCUUAACCUGUAGAAAGCAUAUAAAACUGUUUAACUAGAGUGCAGGAGAGGUAAGUGGAAUUCCUAGUGUAGCGGUGAAAUGCGUAGAGAUUAGGAAGAACACCAGUGGCGAAAGGCGACUUACUGGACUGUAACUGACGCUGAGGCAUGAGAGCAUGGGGAGCAAAC